This 497-nucleotide ribosomal RNA is filed under the name uncultured bacterium. Its description in RNAcentral is "partial 16S ribosomal RNA". It matches the Rfam family "Bacterial small subunit ribosomal RNA", at positions 28 to 507 of the family's 1533-position model. The record is from RNAcentral.
GAUGAACGCUGGCGGCGUGCCUAAUACAUGCAAGUCGAGCGAACAGACGAGGAGCUUGCUCCUCUGACGUUAGCGGCGGACGGGUGAGUAACACGUGGAUAACCUACCUAUAAGACUGGGAUAACUUCGGGAAACCGGAGCUAAUACCGGAUAAUAUAUUGAACCGCAUGGUUCAAUAGUGAAAGACGGUUUUGCUGUCACUUAUAGAUGGAUCCGCGCCGCAUUAGCUAGUUGGUAAGGUAACGGCUUACCAAGGCAACGAUGCGUAACCGACCUGAAAGGGUGAUCGGCCACACUGGAACUGAGACACGGUCCAGACCCCUCCGGGAGGCAGCAGUAGGGAAUCUUCCGCAAUGGGCGAAAGCUUGACGGAGCAACGUCGCGUGAGUGAUGAAGGUCUUCGGAUCGUAAAACUCUGUUAUUAGGGAAGAACAAAUGUGUAAGUAACUAUGCACGUCUUGACGGUACCUAAUCAGAAAGCCACGGCUAACUACGUG